UUCGCCCUUAGAGUUUGAUCCUGGCUCAGAGCGAACGCUGGCGGCAGGCUUAACACAUGCAAGUCGAGCGGGCGUAGCAAUACGUCAGCGGCAGACGGGUGAGUAACGCGUGGGAACGUACCUUUUGGUUCGGAACAACACAGGGAAACUUGUGCUAAUACCGGAUAAGCCCUUACGGGGAAAGAUUUAUCGCCGAAAGAUCGGCCCGCGUCUGAUUAGCUAGUUGGUGAGGUAACGGCUCACCAAGGCGACGAUCAGUAGCUGGUCUGAGAGGAUGAUCAGCCACAUUGGGACUGAGACACGGCCCAAACUCCUACGGGAGGCAGCAGUGGGGAAUAUUGGACAAUGGGGGCAACCCUGAUCCAGCCAUGCCGCGUGAGUGAUGAAGGCCCUAGGGUUGUAAAGCUCUUUUGUGCGGGAAGAUAAUGACGGUACCGCAAGAAUAAGCCCCGGCUAACUUCGUGCCAGCAGCCGCGGUAAUACGAAGGGGGCUAGCGUUGCUCGGAAUCACUGGGCGUAAAGGGUGCGUAGGCGGAUCUUUAAGUCAGAGGUGAAAGCCUGGAGCUCAACUCCAGAACUGCCUUUGAUACUGGGGAUCUUGAGUUCGGGAGAGGUGAGUGGAACUGCGAGUGUAGAGGUGAAAUUCGUAGAUAUUCGCAAGAACACCAGUGGCGAAGGCGGCUCACUGGCCCGAUACUGACGCUGAGGCACGAAAGCGUGGGGAGCAAACAGGAAUAGAUACCCUGGUAGUCCACGCCGUAAACGAU
RNAcentral lists this ribosomal RNA (767 nucleotides) under uncultured bacterium. RNAcentral describes it as "bacterial SSU rRNA". It matches the Rfam family "Bacterial small subunit ribosomal RNA", at positions 1 to 810 of the family's 1533-position model. The record is from RNAcentral.